GAUGAACGCUGGCGGCGUGCCUAAUACAUGCAAGUCGAGCGAACGGACGAGAAGCUUUCUUCUCUGAUGUUAGCGGCGGACGGGUGAGUAACACGUGGAUAACCUACCUAUAAGACUGGGAUAACUUCGGGAAACCGGAGCUAAUACCGGAUAAUAUUUUGAACCGCAUGGUUCAAAAGUGAAAGACGGUCUUGCUGUCACGUAUAGAUGGAUCCGCGCUGCAUUAGCUAGUUGGUAAGGUAACGGCUUACCAAGGCAACGAUGCAUAGCCGACCUGAGAGGGUGAUCGGCCACACUAGAACUGAGACACGGUCCAGACUCCUACGGGAGGCAGCAGUAGGGAAUCGUCCGCAAAGGGCGAAAGCCUGACGGAGCAACGCCGCGUGAGUGAUGAAGGUCUUCGGAUCGUAAAACUCUGUUAUUAGGGAAGAACAUAUGUGUAAGUAACUGUGCACAUCUUGACGGUACCUAAUCAGAAAGCCACGGCUAACUACGUG
Molecule: ribosomal RNA, 497 nt
Filed under: uncultured bacterium
Lineage: Bacteria
Description: partial 16S ribosomal RNA
Rfam family: Bacterial small subunit ribosomal RNA
Source: RNAcentral